Molecule: ribosomal RNA, 253 nt
Filed under: uncultured bacterium
Lineage: Bacteria
Description: partial 16S ribosomal RNA
Rfam family: Bacterial small subunit ribosomal RNA
Source: RNAcentral
UACGUAGGGGGCAAGCGUUAUCCGGAUUUACUGGGUGUAAAGGGAGCGUAGGUGGCGUGCCAAGUCAGGAGUGAAAACCCAGGGCCCAACCCUGGGACUGCUUUUGAAACUGUGUUUCUUGAGUACUGGAGAGGCAGACGGAAUUCCUAGUGUAGCGGUGAAAUGCGUAGAUAUUAGGAGGAACACCAGUGGCGAAGGCGGUCUGCUGGACAGCAACUGACGGUGAGGCGCGAAAGCGUGGGGAGCAAACAGG